CCUACGGGUGGCAGCAGUGAGGAAUAUUGGUCAAUGGACGAGAGUCUGAACCAGCCAAGUAGCGUGAAGGAUGACUGCCCUAUGGGUUGUAAACUUCUUUUAUAUGGGAAUAAAAUGUUCCACGUGUGGGAUUUUGUAUGUACCAUAUGAAUAAGGAUCGGCUAACUCCGUGCCAGCAGCCGCGGUAAUACGGAGGAUCCGAGCGUUAUCCGGAUUUAUUGGGUUUAAAGGGAGCGUAGGUGGAUUGUUAAGUCAGUUGUGAAAGUUUGCGGCUCAACCGUAAAAUUGCAGUUGAAACUUGCAGUCUUGAGUACAGUAGAGGUGGGCGGAAUGCGUGGUGUAGCGGUGAAAUGCUUAGAUAUCACGAAGAACUCCGAUUGCGAAGGCAGUUCACUGGACUGCAACUGACACUGAGGCUCGAAAGUGUGGGUAUCAAACAGGAUUAGAUACCCGGGUAGUC
Molecule: ribosomal RNA, 460 nt
Filed under: uncultured bacterium
Lineage: Bacteria
Description: partial 16S ribosomal RNA
Rfam family: Bacterial small subunit ribosomal RNA
Source: RNAcentral